AACGGCCAUACCAUGCUGAAUAUACCGGUUCUCGUUCGAUCACCGAAGUCAAGCAUCAUCAUCGGGCGCGGUCAGUACUCGGGAGGAU
Caerostris darwini is the source of this 88-nucleotide non-coding RNA. The record is from the annotation of a GenBank genome assembly. Lineage: Eukaryota; Metazoa; Arthropoda; Arachnida; Araneae; Araneidae.